RNAcentral lists this ribosomal RNA (511 nucleotides) under Clostridioides difficile. RNAcentral describes it as "bacterial LSU rRNA". It matches the Rfam family "Bacterial large subunit ribosomal RNA", at positions 937 to 1455 of the family's 2925-position model. Lineage: Bacteria; Bacillati; Bacillota; Clostridia; Peptostreptococcales; Peptostreptococcaceae. The record is from RNAcentral.
UACCGAAGACUAUCAAACUCCGAAUGCCGUCAUCUUAUACUUGGGAGUCAGACUGUGGGUGAUAAGAUUCAUAGUCGAAAGGGCAACAGCCCAGAUCGUCAGCUAAGGUCCCUAAAUGUAAGUUAAGUGGUAAAGGAUGUGGGAUUGCACAGACAACCAGGAUGUUGGCUUAGAAGCAGCCACUCAUUCAAAGAGUGCGUAAUAGCUCACUGGUCGAGUGAUCCUGCGCCGAAGAUUUCCGGGGCUAAAACUUACUACCGAAGCUACGGCAUCAGUAAUGAUGGGUAGGGGAGCUUCCCAUACGGGUUGAAGCAUGACCGUAAGGACAUGUGGACAGUAUGGGAGUGAGAAUGUUGGCAUGAGUAGCGAGAUGUGGGUGAGAAUCCCACAGGCCGUAAACCCAAGGUUUCCAGGGGAAGGUUCGUCCGCCCUGGGUUAGUCGGGACCUAAGCUGAGGCCGAAAGGCGUAGGUGAUGGACAACAGGUUGAUAUUCCUGUACUACCGAUAACC